This 234-nucleotide long non-coding RNA is filed under the name Homo sapiens (human). Its description in RNAcentral is "non-protein coding lnc-CLDN10-10:1". The record is from RNAcentral. Lineage: Eukaryota; Metazoa; Chordata; Mammalia; Primates; Hominidae.
UGAACACCUUACAGCUUUCAUUUUGCUUUAAUGUUUCAAUUCAAGCCGGUGUAAAAAUAAUUUCCAAGGCAUUUCUGUUUAUUCUUUAGUAAUCUCACUACUGGCUAUGUCAGCAAUAUCUUUUUCAAUCUGGUUCCUUUUGUAUAUGAUGUCACUGUGACCUCUUUGAAAUAUAGUGAUGGCUUUUACCUACUUUGAAAAGAAUUUUCACAUAGAGUCAGAAAAAAAAGGAAA